AUCAUUUGAGAAGCAGGAAAGGGGAAAGGCACCCUGCGCUCCUUAGGGAACCUGAUAUGAUGGAUACGCCGCCCAUCCAAGUGUU
RNAcentral lists this non-coding RNA (85 nucleotides) under unclassified sequences. RNAcentral describes it as "skipping-rope RNA". It matches the Rfam family "skipping-rope RNA". From Rfam's summary of the family: Firmicutes, Fusobacteria, AlphaProteobacteria, Spirochaetes. Downstream gene The record is from Rfam by way of RNAcentral.